CAAAGCUCAUUUAUGCAGUCUGCUAAUGUACUCUCUAAAAAUUUCAGAAACUUCAUCAAACAAUUAACUAGAAAAUCCUCAUCUGAUUGGAACAGUAAAAUUGUUAAUCAUCCCAGACAAAGUGGUGGCCACAACUGCGGACCACUCAUCUUAAAGGUCAGUGGUGUUAGUUUGCAGAAGUAUAUUUGCAGCACAAAGACAUCAGUAUGGUAGAAACAACACAAGAGGCUAAUACUGCGUUUAGAAGACAUAUAGCAAUUCUUCUAAUGAAGGAGUCAGAAAACGUGGAAGACUACUGCAUAUACUGCAACCUCGUCAACUGUGAAAAGGAAAGUGAGGAUUGCACGAUGGUACAGUGUGAUUCUUGCAAGAGGUGGGCACAUAUGCCCUGCAUUACACAAGGAACCAAUCAAGACUACCUGACUGAUGACAAGAAAGAGUACAACUGCAAAAAAUGUGCAUAGUUCACUUCUUUACCCCCCCCCCAAAAUUGUUUAAAUGCCUCUUGUUCAAAACAUAAUGCAACCAAAAGACAUUUUUAAUGUAUAUACCAGAUUAUAAUAAUGUUCUUUACUUUAAAAAAUUGUUCUCUGUAUUUGUGUCCAUGUAUAUGAUGCAAAUUGGAAGAGUAAAGUAAAAAAACAAAAGUGGUCUCACCUUGGGCUCAGGGGCAUGCUCCGUACCCCCAAUCCUUACCUCCCUUUUUCACAGAUUCACACAAAA
Malaclemys terrapin pileata is the source of this 723-nucleotide long non-coding RNA. RefSeq lists it as uncharacterized. The record is from RefSeq and is a predicted model, not a curated record. NCBI's taxonomy places the organism in Eukaryota, Metazoa, Chordata, Testudines, Emydidae. The transcript has 4 exons.